UACGUAGGUGGCGAGCGUUAUCCGGAAUUACUGGGCGUAAAGCGUACGCAGGCGGUUUCUUAAGUCUGACGUGAAAGCUCCCGGCUUAACUGGGAGAGUUCGUUGGAGACUGGGGGGCUUGAGGCGAGGAGAGGGGUGUAGAAUUUCCGGUGUAGUGGUGGAAUGCGUAGAUAUCGGGAGGAAUACCAGUGGCGAAGGCGACUCCCUGGCAUAUGCCUGACGCUCAUGUACGAAAGCUUGGGGAGCAAACGGG
RNAcentral lists this ribosomal RNA (253 nucleotides) under uncultured bacterium. RNAcentral's name for it is "partial 16S ribosomal RNA". It matches the Rfam family "Bacterial small subunit ribosomal RNA", at positions 524 to 776 of the family's 1533-position model. The record is from RNAcentral.